RNAcentral lists this ribosomal RNA (492 nucleotides) under uncultured bacterium. Its description in RNAcentral is "partial 16S ribosomal RNA". It matches the Rfam family "Bacterial small subunit ribosomal RNA", at positions 29 to 507 of the family's 1533-position model. The record is from RNAcentral.
AGUGAACGCUGGCGGUAGGCCUAACACAUGCAAGUCGAACGGCAGCACAGUAAGAGCUUGCUCUUACGGGUGGCGAGUGGCGGACGGGUGAGGAAUACAUCGGAAUCUACUUUUUCGUGGGGGAUAACGUAGGGAAACUUACGCUAAUACCGCAUACGACGUACGGGUGAAAGCAGGGGAUCUUCGGAUCUUGCGCGAUUGAAUGAGCCGAUGUCGGAUUAGCUAGUUGGCGGGGUAAAGGCCCACCAAGGCGACGAUCCGUAGCUGGUCUGAGAGGAUGAUCAGCCACACUGGAACUGAGACACGGUCCAGACUCCUACGGGAGGCAGCAGUGGGGAAUAUUGGACAAUGGGCGCAAGCCUGAUCCAGCCAUGCCGCGUGGGUGAAGAAGGCCUUCGGGUUGUAAAGCCCUUUUGUUGGGAAAGAAGAGCAGCAGGUUAAUACCCCGCUGUUCUGACGGUACCCAAAGAAUAAGCACCGGCUAACUUCGUG